AAAAAAGAGAAAGCAGGUAGAGGAUGUAAACAUUAACAAGAAUAAAAACAGAGAAAAGACAGACUGUAGACAGACAUGAGACGAGAGAGGUAAAGAUUAUGUAAACAUUAACAAUGUAAGAAAGCCUUCCAGAGAGAAGAGUAGAGAAAGAGAGAAAGAUUGUGUUGCAAAGGUCGCCAGAGUGGUAAAAACGAUGCCAGUGAGAGGGUGGCCUUGGAAAACUAAGAGUGCAAACAGGACAGCGAAUCAAAACCCAUAAUACUCCCACUCCGCUGCAGUGUCUGACCAAUCAGCAAGCGAAAUGUCAGUAAGGUCACAGCACCAAAGGGAGAAACACACACGAACACCAACCGCAUGCGAAGCAUUCCUGCAAACCAACUCAAACAUGAGCUCUCGGGGGUGAGCUGUGUUUGGAUGUCCACUCUGCAGAUGGGACACUUCCUACUGGUGGCCAGCCACUGAUCCACACACGCCUGAUGGAACAAAUGCAUACAGGAACUCACCAAUCAGUGCCUUCUGCCAGGUAUCUGGGCUGCUGUGGGAUUGGCUGAGGGACAUGGAGGGGCGGAGCA
This is a long non-coding RNA of Sinocyclocheilus rhinocerous, 572 nucleotides long. RefSeq lists it as uncharacterized. The record is from RefSeq and is a predicted model, not a curated record. NCBI's taxonomy places the organism in Eukaryota, Metazoa, Chordata, Actinopteri, Cypriniformes, Cyprinidae. The transcript is spliced from 3 exons.